AGGUUGAGUCAUCUAAGCGAUGAGAGCACAGUGACCUGGAGCCCAGGUGGAAUUCCAUGCCUCAGCUCAUUCCGAGCCCAGGAGCCUGGGAAGCUUUCCGACAGAGCAGCAGGGCCAUCAAGUCAGCAUAGACGGGGCACCAUGUGACUGACCUUUCUGCUCACAACGCUCCCCGCUGUAGGGCUAAACGUAAUUGAGCAGGAAAGGCAGGGGUGGGGUUAGCAGGCAGGACACAGAGAAUUGCCCGUUACCCACAAGAGUAAGCAGCCCUCCUUGAUGGCCUCAGCCUCAGGUUUGCAGUACAAACAUGUCGAUUGUCUCUGGUCUAGAAUGUGGACUCCAGAAGGCAGAAAAAAUGUAGAGACACUUCUCUGAGAUGGGAUCUGCCCCCAGCAACCAGCAACAUUUAUUCAAGCUGCACCUGGGGCCUCAUGCUGAUGGGGUCAGAUGGUCCAAAUGGGCUGCCUGGGUUCACUUGGCUCUGGGCCUUGUGAAAUCCUUGUGUGCUGUAACCCACCCCUUUAUUUU
This 528-nucleotide long non-coding RNA is filed under the name Homo sapiens (human). RNAcentral describes it as "HSALNT0222044". Lineage: Eukaryota; Metazoa; Chordata; Mammalia; Primates; Hominidae. The record is from RNAcentral.